RNAcentral lists this ribosomal RNA (254 nucleotides) under uncultured bacterium. RNAcentral's name for it is "partial 16S ribosomal RNA". It matches the Rfam family "Bacterial small subunit ribosomal RNA", at positions 524 to 776 of the family's 1533-position model. The record is from RNAcentral.
UACGAAGGGGGCUAGCGUUGCUCGGAAUCACUGGGCGUAAAGCGCACGUAGGCGGAUUGCUAAGUCAGGGGUGAAAUCCUGGAGCUCAACUCCAGAACUGCCUUUGAUACUGGCGAUCUCGAGUCCGGGAGAGGUGAGUGGAACUGCGAGUGUAGAGGUGAAAUUCGUAGAUAUUCGCAAGAACACCGGUGGCGAAGGCGGCAUCCUGGACCAACACUGACGCUGAGUGAGCGAAAGCCAGGGGAGCAAACGGG